UCAGGUGUUUUACUAUGUCUAAAGAACAUAAAAUAAAUUCUAUCAAACCGAUAGCAAUCACUUUUCUCCUCAUGCUCAAAUCCAGCAUUUUUUCCCUUCCAGUCGUGAAUCAUGAUGCCAUCCAAGGAUGAGAUUUUUAGGAAAAAUGUGUUACCUGUCCCCAGCAUGUGUGAGGUCCAGUAGCCUUUGUGGUUAUUAUCCUCUGAAGCUUCCAGAGCUCUUACUUGUCAGCAGUCACUCCUGCUGCCCUAACUCCAAAAUGAGCAAUACACUUUUGUUCCACACAACUCCAUGUCCUGUCCCAUUUCUGCUUCUCCUGCCCUGAAAAGUCCCCUCCUAAGAUCUGUUUCCUGGCUCUGCACUCAUUUCACAAGGCAGGGACUGUUUGGAAGAGGGAGGACUUUUACUAAAUGGACAGAAAUUCCUGAGUGGGCUGUAGUUUCACAGGGUCAGUACGAGACCAACAAAAAUCUUGUCAUUUGGGAGGAAUUUAUAAGAAUUAUAAACACUGCUUGUUAUCUUAGGGUCAUCUCUGACUCAUUUCUAGCUUUUAUCCUACUCUUUCUGUCUGUGUCCAAAAUUUUACUUCCCUCAGCUUAAUUCUAUGUGCUGACUUCUAGAUGUUUGCAGUGCAAAUAACACAGAAGAAAUCUCAUUUGGUUAUCUGUGACUUCUUUUCUGCUUCCUUUUCUGCUUCUGGAGACAAGGAAAGAAGAUUGUGAUUUAAAGGUGUUAUUUAUGCAUAUCAGAUUUUGGGGAUAUACAGAACUACUGUUGAUUUAGCUGUUAUUUUCCUUGUUCUGCUAAGAAAGAAUAUCUAUGGCAAUUCAGAUGAGCUGCUACUCUUCCUGCUCAUUUCAGGGAAGUAAUCAUCUAUGGAAGUUGAAUCAGAGUCAGUGAAUUGCCUACAUACUUAUUCUUUGUUGACUGGGAAGGUCACAUAAACAUAUCACUGAGAGAAACAAGGAUUAUUGAGGAAAAUUCUACCCCAAUUUUUAAGACUUAAGAAGAAAUAAUUAUUCAGAGAAAAAAGAAAUUCAGCAAUGAGGCUAAUAGUACAGAAGCCUCAUUUGAAGGUACUAAUUGUACUGUGUACAGUUUUAAUCAGAUUGACAAGAAACUUCCCCCUCCCCCACCCCACUAUUUGUAUUUUUGUCAACACAGGACAGAACCAGCAUAUUCUUUUUCUUUUCUCCCAUCCCUGCACCUGGCUCCCCACUCCCACUACCUUUGCAGGUGCUUUAAAAUCACACCCGGUUUCUAUUGAGUAUUUAGUUUGGGGAGCAUUUCCAGAAGUGGAAGAGCCAUAUAAAGGAUGAAAAAUAUGAAGCAUAAUUAGUAUUUGGGCAAAUAGACUAUAAUCCUCACAUAAUGGUUAGUGCUGAAAGGUCUUUGUUAAUAAUGGUAUUUUAAUUAUUUUAAAUUCAUUGACUUGCACUAAUCCAAUGAAAUCUAUAGUCUUAAUUGUUCCAACAGAGCCGAGGAAAAAAUUCUUGAGGAGACAAAAAAACACAUUUAGAGACUGUGCUCAAGAUUUUUUCAUGUGAAAAAAGUUUGAGAAAUUACUAAGCAUUAUCUGUAAGGCAGUAUCAUGAUUCUGCUCAGAUCUUAUGAUAUGUAGAGCAAAAAGCAUAUUUUAUCUGUAAGCAUAGGAAUAAAGGAACAAUAUUAUUAUGGAGUACGUAUAAAAGUCAGUACAUUGCUUACUAUUUUCAGUUUUUUUCUCAUGUGCAGAAACAAGCAGAAGAGAACAAGUUUAUAUAGAAAUUGCCUCUCUGUUCAAGAGAGCUCCCUUUUUUAAUCUGAAACUGAAAAGUUCAGAAGAGCUAUACAGAUACAGCAAGAAACUUGAAUGAACCUUGCCUGCCUAAAACAUUCAGGAAACCUUUUUUCCCACAAGAAUUAAAAGUAAACUUUAUCGUAUAGCUAAAAUAGUCUUACAUUAUAAUUCCCAAUGAGCUUCUUUUUUGUCCUGUAAAAUAAAGAGCCGCUCUUUAUUUUAAUCCAACAUAAUCUACUCCCAAUCAAGUACUGGGAGACAUAAAGCAAUCAGUCACAAGUCAUCCCUUUCCAAGGGCAAGUCAGGAUGACCUGGCAGAGCCUCUUAAGCAAGACAGCAGCAGUUAGAUACCUGUAUGACCAACUGCCACUCCUUCAUUCUCCUCUCCUUCCUUGUUGAUGGAGUAAGUUUAUAUUUGCUACAUGAAUAUGCAAAGAGUUAUGUCUACAACUACAAACCUAUUUAAAGAAAAAUACUGCUUCUGCAUAUCUUGUAUGAUAUUUUCUAUACUCAAACCACCAGGAUCGACAAAUAGGUUAUGUUCCCAGGAUUCUUCCCUGCCAUUGAGGCUCACUGGCACACAAUGAAUCAGAUCCAGACUAUUAUAUUUUCUUAGAUUCCAAAUGAAGGUGUCCGCACGCAAACUGCAAAUGGCCAAUGGCCAUUUGCCUGAACUGCCCCUGAUAAUCAUGUGGAAACAUGCCCAAACUGUCUAAAGGUUGAUUCUAACUAUUUAAAACUACCAAUAACUGAGUUUUAACAUCCUGAAAGUUCUACUUCUUCAAUUUACUAGUACAGAUAUAACCUCAGAGUACACUUCCAGUACUUUUGGCCAUAAAUGUUACAAAUAGCCUACAAUUACCAGUAUGCAGAAAUAGGAAAGUUUUGGUAAUAACAAUAAAUCACCAUGACAAUCAGCAAAUGUGGGCAGCAUAUGAUCCAGCUGCACCAAGAUACGAUCUUGCUGCACUGAGACCUUCUGUUCUGUUAUAUGCAUAACAAAUACAUAAAGAGCUGAUCAUUUUACUUCUGAUUUAAAAACACUACUGAACUAUAUUUAUUAACAGGGCUUUGUUGCUAAAUUGGCUUAUAAUUUUAACAAAACCUGUGGUUUGAGAGGCCCUGAAACAAGCUUACAAUUAUGAUGGCUAACUCAGUAGGCUGCAAAUUUUCUUUCUGCUCUCAUUAAGAGGAAAGGGUAUACACAAAGUAAGACUAAUGAGUUAAAAAAAUUAUCUAAAUUAGAAGUGACAAUGCAGUUGCCAUGCCAAAGUUUAAUUUCUGUACCAACAAACCUGAGCCAAUUUUAAUAAAUAAAGCUAGUUUUAAUGAAUUUUAAUUUAGCCUUAUGAAGCCUUUCCAUGACUAAGAAAAGCUACAGGUAUUGUAUUAAUUGUGAUUGUAAUUGUCAUUUUAGUGGGACUUCUUAUCAAAUCCAGUAGGUAUACGAAGAGAAGAAUAUGACAAAAAUACAAAUAGAUACACUGAUAUCUAAAUGUCAAAGGCCAAGGCUAAAACCAACGCAAGAUCUGUAUGACUACACAGAGAGAUUUCCACAAACAUAAUGUAUAAUUAAUAAUAGACUAAAACAAGCAAACAAGAAAGUCCAAACAUAGUGAUUUUAAUACCUACUCAGGAAAUAGCCUGCUUGGAAAUAAAAAUGAGGACUGUGUUAGUUACAUUCAAAUUACUUUCAUUGACGUGAUACAAAAUGCAGUCAUUCCUUGAGUUCAUACUUCUCGAAAGCACGGUGUGCUGUACCUGUGUGACCCCUGAUGGCUAAUUGCUCUACCCAUCAUUUAGAGCCUUCUGUCGCAAGGAACCUGCAGCCUCCCUGGGUAACCUGUUCAGGGCUUACUCCUAGAGACUGUUUCUCAUGGAGCAAUUGUAAUUUUUAUAGCUUUUGUCAUUUAGAUGUCUAACAUUUUCCCAUCCAGACUGACUACGACUUUCCAUCAUUCCAACAAUUAAUUUUCUUUGAUUUCAACUCUGACUGAGACACCUGAGGAAGUGAAGAGAGGAGAGAAGACAGUGACUCUGUUUAAGGCAGGAAAAUAGGGAAGGAACUGCCUCUGAAGAAUUAAAGGCAGCAUGAACCCAGACAGCUACCACAUUACAUAGAGAAAACAAUAACACUGGAGAAAGAGUAGCAGGAAUGGAUAUCUUUUCUGUGGGAAAAACUUGAAUGCUUUUAUUCUGCAGAUAGUAGUCAUGGCAUGUUAUUUCUUCUCAGCAUUAAAAGAGAACAUGCAUGUACUGAAAACUGCCCACAAACCAUUUGAUGUGUUGUUUGCUUUAUCCUUUCUAUUUUUUUCCACAUUUAUGCUGUUAAGUGUUCUAACCAGACUGUUUACAUGUAUCCCUAAGCAAGCCACAACUGUUGCUAGCUACAUAUUAUCUUUAUAGUCUCAUUAUCUCUGGUUGUCUGAAUUCUGUCUGGCUCACAGAACUAACUUGUAGUAUUUAACACUUGCCUGUAGUGAGUCUUCUAAAAACCUUCUAAUCAAGGUGCCCUGCAUACAAUAUAAAUAUUUUGCUCCUUAAUUAUAGUAACUGGCAUGUUACUUUUCACAACUAGCUACGUAGCAUCAGCUUCCCUGUAGAGCCUCGGGUGUUGUCUGAAAAGUAAGAUUUUAACAAUCUCAGCUAUGCAGAAGCUGUCUCUUAAAUGUUUUUGUGCUAUAGACAUAUAGAAGAACCACAGACCAAUGUCUAGAGUGUUCUUUUGCAGUGCAGAAUGUCCUUUAAAUAUUUUUCUAUUCACAAUAAUAAAGAUACUGAAUAAUGAAGAUACUGAAUUAGAAAGCUAUCUGUGCAGUGAAAAAAAGCUGUUCUUCUGUUUCUUCUAAAGAAUGUUGCCUCCUUUACAAUUUGUGUUCUAUAUUAUAUAUAUAACAUUUUAAUGUCCCUGACAAAUAAAAUACUGGCGUGGAUAAAAAUAUCAUGGACACUCUUUGCAAUAGAAGAUUUUAUUUUUAGAAGUGCUUAUUUUUAAGGUAUGUCUUUAAUCUUAUAAAAAACAGUAGAAAAAACAGCUUUGAAACCUGCACAUUGCCAGUUGUUUAUGUCAGUGGUCUUAGCAAUUCUAGUAAUCUCAGCACGUUAGUGUUCAGAACUGUUCUUCAGUGUUUUGCACAAAUAUUCUUACUGUGUCCCUGCAGCUACAAUAGAUUGAAUCAUCAAGCUUUAGAAGUUUAUCAUUUUCCUUGAAUAGUCAAUGGAGCUGUUGUCUAGACUAUCUGCCAGAGAUAAAAAAGUUGCUCAUUUCAGAGUUAUAAAAUAUUGCUUGUUAUUUCUGAGGGCAUAUAUCUAGAGCCAGUUCACAGCUUCUUUCAUAGGGAAGACUUACUAAAAGAGAUAUUCUAGAGGCAGCAAAACUCCAGCAAACGUGAAUUUUUCAUCCAGGAUUCCUCUUAUAAGAAUUCCCUGAGUCCACACUUGGUAAAUUUGAAUCUGGGCUCUAUCAGCUUACAAAGUUAAGGAUGAAGUUUCUCUAGUAAUGGGCAGUGCGAUAGAUGAUCCUUCAAAAGUGAUUGCUAGUCCUUUCAAGGAACACAUUACAAUAUUUUGAAGUAGAGUGGGAUUUGAAAAGAAACCAAACAGUAAGAACAGAAAUUGGGUGAGGUGAUCUAUGUUAAGAAAGACAAACAGCUGCAUGUUGGACUAUGAGCCUUUCGGCUGACCUUCAGGCUUGGCUGAGGGUGGCCUGUGGUCUGCAUAAUGUCCCAAGACCGGUGUGAUACGCUUUCCAGAGAUGGAAGAGUAAUUCCUGCUCUUGUUGCUACCUCAAGCCUAAAAAAAUCAGGCGUUGCAGUUGAAGAUUACUUCAGUUAUUGAAGUUAACUUAUUGAAUGAAAUGCAGCAACUCAGUCAAAUUUUCUUUUUUCUUUUAUUUCCUAGUAAACAUUCCUACUAUCCCUACAAAAAUAUAAAUAGUAUAAUAAUAUGAAGUGAAUGGAGUCUAUGCUUCAUCUAGUUCCCUAUUUCCAUCAGAUCAGAAUAUCUGGCAUAAUCUUGUGCAUGUUAAAUAAGACAAUACCAAGUUUUUUUUGGUGCAAUUAUUAAUUCUUUAUCUGAUAGAAGUAAUUAAGCAUCUCUAUACAAUCUUAAGAUGUUUAACAAUAAAAAAGGUCUUGUGACAAUUUAUCAAAGUCCCAGAAAUGUGUAAGUCUUACUUUCUAAAAGUGGAAUUCAUACAGUACAUUCCUAGAAAUGCAACCAGAAUUGAAUGGGAAGAUAAAACUGAUGAAAAGGAAAGAGAAUAAGCACAAUGGAUAAGGAAAUACAGAAAUAGUAAUAGGCCUAGAGCUAAAAGAGAUGAUUAUUGAAAAGAGGUGGUUAUUGAAGAAAAACUGGCAAUGGCUAAGGAGAAAUUUGUGACCAAAAAGAAGACAUUAAAUAAAAAGAAACAAAAGAGAAAACCAAAGAGUUCCACUAGUAGCUCAUAGAGCCAUGGAAGCUAUUAUCUUGUAAUAAUUCAUUUAGGAAAGUCAACCCAGGAUUUAGUGAUCAAUAUAUUGUAACAUUAAAAAGAACUUUCUAGAGAUUUUCAUGCUGGUAGUUAAAGUGGCAAAGAACCAAACAAGGAAUUCUACGAAUUUAACAGCAUAUGUAUGUUUGCGGUAUCUGGGUCAUUGCCAACAUCUCAGCUCUACUUAAUUUCCUGUAUAGAUGUUGCCUCUUACACUCACGUUCUAGAAUUAGCCAGUCCAAAAAAUGGACAAAGAAAGGGAACAAUAUAGGAAGAAUCUUCAGCUUGUUCCCAUAGAGCCUACUUUUGUCUUUUGGCUCCACAGAGCAUCUUGUGAAUUUACAAUAAUUCUUCUACAGUAUUGGAAGUGUAUGCCCUCAGGGAAGGGCAUACACAGGAAAACCUCCAGCUCCCCCACCAUGCAGUCCUUCUGCAGUAAACUGAAAAGAGAAAGCCUUUCUAAAAGGAGACCUGAAAACAAAUUUACUUUGGGGUAUUAGUCUUCCUCUCAGAACCUCUCCCCAGCAACAAUUGUUUCAGCAGUCCAUGUGCCAGAAUGUUAUGGCUAGAUAAAGUUUGUUCAAGAAGUAUUGCUACCCUUGUAUAAAAUAUUUUUGUAAUUCCCAUAACAUUCUCAAUAUGUAGCAAAUAUGUAUUUUGUGGUCUCCAUUGUUUAAGGCCAAAGUUUGAACUAAAGUCAUGACAACAUUUAUAAUGGACACAAUGAGGCAGUUAUCUUCAUCAGGGCAGAACCUGGUAAUUACCUUAUGUGUGUUUUCCCCUUGUUUUCCUUCCCUUUGUAGCUAUACAGAUGGAAGAAACACAGCUCAGUGGGUUUUUUUGCCCUUCAUCUCAAAUUUUUCUAAUCGUAGGCAGAGCAGAAUAAAAAAAAUUGCAAGUUUAGGAUUUUAAGCCUAAAAUAGUACAGUUCCUGGUGGUUGGAAAUAUGGUUGUCUUAAAAUAAUGGCUGUGGGUCACCUGAGCUGCUUUUAUAAGACAAAAAUAAUAAGAAUAACAAGAAUUUCAGACAUGUUUGUGCCAUUCUAUUCUUGUUAUGGUUAUUGACACUCUGAGAGUUUGCUCCUUCAACAUCUAUGUACAUUCUAUCCAUAAGCAGCUAAAUAGUUGCUACCACAAUGGAAUUUCACACAGGUAUGAUGGAUGAGGUUAAAUGUGAUGAUGAUGCUGUAGAUAGUUUAGGCUUGUGGUGGCUAGAACCACCUACUAGGAUCCUUCCAAGUUUAUUACAGCUGCAGCCCAUAAGCAGUGAAAACUGCAUUAUAUAUAUAUAUAUAUGCAUCAAACUCUCAUUCAAUGAUUUGUAUGUGCCUUACAUACAGUCAGAAAACCAAUAAUUUCUUACAUCAAGUUAUAUGCAAACCUACAGUCGAAUUUUCCACAAAUGAAUAAAUGAUUCUGGUUUAAGCCGAGAUGUGUUAUGGGGGAGAGAAAAGAAAUAACAUCUUUUUUGCUGUUGAAUUGCUAGUAUUAACAGUCAGCUUUUAAUGGAGUGGUAUUCACAUGGCAUAAGAACAUCCAGUAUUGGUAAUAUUUGAUAUAUUAUAUUCAUUUACUUGAGCUUCUUUCACACUGAUAACAUAUUUGAAUGUAUCCAAACAGCAGAGGUAAUAUAUGUUUUCUGAAAUACUCAAUAAAAGUAACAUAACUUACAGAAUAAGCUUUGAACAGUACUCCAUAUUCUAACUCACCUGUGUCUUCUUUAUGAAAUAAAACAUUAUUUUUGAGUAGCUAGGUCAUUUCCAUCUAUAAAAAGCACAGAAAUCACGGUGUUUAGUCUGAUAAUAUUUCCCAAUCCCUUCAAUCUAUUUAGCUUAACAGAUGUACAGAGGCACACAGAUGGAAACAAAUCAGUCCUUUUCAAGCUUGGUGCUCAAGAAAAUAAUCAGGACAGCAAGCUAGCGACACUAUUCCUUGUCUUCUUUGUAACUGAAACUGUUGCAAUGGUGACAUGGGAAGCAAAAGCAUAUUAUUUUCUAGAAAACUAUGGUUACGGUGUGUGUUACUUAAUAUUCAGCCUAUCUCAUUCCCAGGAAUCAAGAGAAUCCAGUUCAAGAGAAGAAGUGGCUGUCCUACUCAACGCUGAGCAUCAUGCUGCUUCUGUUAAAAUUAGUGGUUCAUCCAAACUGCAGGUGCUGUUCGACCCUGAGCCUGGGUGCAGGUGCUGGCUGGGAUAAGAGAUGAGAAAGAAAGAUGGGAGAGAAUCAGAAGAAUCAUUUAUUUGGGUUGAAUCGAAGUGGCAAUGUUUCAGACUUGCUAGAAAAAUGAACAUUUCCGUAUCUCCAAGCUUCUUUCACAGAAGAAAAUUCCUCCAUUUGGGCAUGGGUCAAGAUUUUGAACCUUUGGAGUAAACACUUUAAAAAGCACUGAAAUUCUUUUUUCAAUGUCAGCUGAAAAGAAAGUCAGGAUUAGUGCUGAGUGGAUUCUCUGAAAUAUGUGAUCUCAUACAUACAAUAAAUAAACUGCUUGGAUCCAGCUCUACUCAAAA
Pseudopipra pipra is the source of this 8757-nucleotide long non-coding RNA. RefSeq lists it as uncharacterized. The transcript is spliced from 2 exons. NCBI's taxonomy places the organism in Eukaryota, Metazoa, Chordata, Aves, Passeriformes, Pipridae. The record is from RefSeq and is a predicted model, not a curated record.